GAUGAACGCUGGCGGCGUGCCUAAUACAUGCAAGUCGAGCGAACAGACGAGGAGCUUGCUCCUCUGACGUUAGCGGCGGACGGGUGAGUAACACGUGGAUAACCUACCUAUAAGACUGGGAUAACUUCGGGAAACCGGAGCUAAUACCGGAUAAUAUAUUGAACCGCAUGGUUCAAUAGUGAAAGACGGUUUUGCUGUCACUUAUAGAUGGAUCCGCGCCGCAUUAGCUAGUUGGUAAGGUAACGGCUUACCAAGGCAACGAUGCGUAGCCGACCUGAGAGGGUGAUCGGCCACACUGGAACUGAGACACGGUCCAGACUCCUACGGGAGGCAGCAGUAGGGAAUCUUCCGCAAUGGGCGAAAGCCUGACGGAGCAACGCCGCGUGAGUGAUGAAGGUCUUCGGAUCGUAAAACUCUGUUAUUAGGGAAGUACAAAUGUGUAAGUAACUAUGCACGUCUUGACGGUACCUAAUCAGAAAGCCACGGCUAACUACGUG
This 497-nucleotide ribosomal RNA is filed under the name uncultured bacterium. RNAcentral's name for it is "partial 16S ribosomal RNA". It matches the Rfam family "Bacterial small subunit ribosomal RNA", at positions 28 to 507 of the family's 1533-position model. The record is from RNAcentral.